This 251-nucleotide ribosomal RNA is filed under the name uncultured prokaryote. RNAcentral's name for it is "partial 16S rRNA". It matches the Rfam family "Bacterial small subunit ribosomal RNA", at positions 525 to 775 of the family's 1533-position model. The record is from RNAcentral.
ACGGAGGGUGCAAGCGUUAUUCGGAAUUACUGGGCGUAAAGCGCGUGCAGGCGGCCCUGCAAGUCUGAUGUGAAAGCCCCGGGCUCAACCCGGGAACUGCAUUGGAAACUGCAUGUCUUGAGUACUGGAGAGGAAGGCGGAAUUCCAGGUGUAGAGGUGAAAUGCGUAGAGAUGGGGAGGAACACCGAUGGCGAAGGCAGCCAACUGGACCAUAACUGACGCUCAUGCGCGAAAGCGUGGGGAGCAAACAG